CAUGUUUUUGAGUAGAGAAAUCACAAUAAAAAUAUUGUAUUGGAGCUUAAAUGUUUGGAGAAUAAUGAUUAUUUUGUAUUAUUUAGCAUGAUAUCAGAACAUGAGGUCUUGAAUUCGAAUCUCGUCAAACUCUUAACAUUAUUUAUUUUUUAAAUGUGAGACAGAGUGUUGAAUAUAAAAUAUAUAAACGUCGUUCACUAAUAAUUUAAGUUGAUGGAUAAUAAUAGUUUUAUAUUUUUAUAUUUAAUAAUUUAGAAUCAGACCCGUUUGGAUAACUAGUUAAA
This 284-nucleotide long non-coding RNA is filed under the name Ananas comosus (pineapple). RNAcentral describes it as "long non-coding RNA (ACOM_LNC035333)". The record is from RNAcentral. Lineage: Eukaryota; Viridiplantae; Streptophyta; Magnoliopsida; Poales; Bromeliaceae.